UACGGGGGGAGCAAGCGUUGUUCGGAUUUACUGGGCGUAAAGGGCGCGUAGGCGGCCACCGCAAGUCGACUGUGAAAUCUCCGGGCUUAACCCGGAAAGGUCAGCCGAUACUGCGGGGCUAGAGUGCAGAAGGGGCAACUGGAAUUCUCGGUGUAGCGGUGAAAUGCGUAGAUAUCGAGAGGGACACCUGCGGCGAAGGCGGGUUGCUGGGCUGACACUGACGCUGAUGCGCGAAAGCCAGGGGAGCGAACGGG
This 254-nucleotide ribosomal RNA is filed under the name uncultured bacterium. RNAcentral describes it as "partial 16S ribosomal RNA". It matches the Rfam family "Bacterial small subunit ribosomal RNA", at positions 524 to 776 of the family's 1533-position model. The record is from RNAcentral.